GAUGAAGAACGCAUCGAAAUGCGAUAAUUAAUGUGAAUUGCAGAAUUCCGUGAAUCAUCGAGUCUUUGAACGCACAUUGCGCCUCAUGGCAUUCCGUGAGGCAUGCCCAUCUCAGCGUUAGAAAAUAUUCUCAAAUUUUAGUUUUGUGCUAAAAUUUGGAUCAUGUCAAAGAAGCUAUUACUAUUAUUGUGAUCGCUCUUUGGAAAUUGAUAGGUCUUUGAGUUGCUACUCAUAGAACGUGAUGAAUCUUUCUUCGUUCUAUUGUAAUUCACUCUGGUAGUCCUAAAACUUGUAUGCCUGUGGCAUAUCUUGUAAUUUGACCUGAGAUUGGGUAGGGAUACCCGCUGAACUUAAGCAUAUCAAUAAGCGGAGGA
This 374-nucleotide unclassified non-coding RNA is filed under the name soil metagenome. RNAcentral's name for it is "partial contains internal transcribed spacer 2 and large subunit ribosomal RNA". The stretch from base 1 to 120 matches the Rfam family "5.8S ribosomal RNA", at positions 35 to 154 of the family's 154-position model. The record is from RNAcentral.